Molecule: non-coding RNA, 1209 nt
Organism: Myodes glareolus (Bank vole)
Lineage: Eukaryota; Metazoa; Chordata; Mammalia; Rodentia; Cricetidae
Source: RefSeq, a predicted model, not a curated record
AGGCUCAGAAAGGCUGAGGACCCGCCCAUAGCCAUACCGUGGCUGUGGUUCAUGCUCAGACACACGGCUGAUUCUACAGCUACAGUAGAAUGAACUGAGUAGCUGGGAAAGUGUCGUGUUUAGAAGAUGCUGGGAGAAAAGUCCUCCAUGCUCUUCUGGGACAGCAUCAACACUUCAGCCUCACACGUUGCUUGGGAAGCAAUGAGAGACUGGCUAAGGCCAGAAGCAAAUGGAGGCACUCAGAGGUUAAGAAAUUGAGCAUAGCAUGCUUACAAAAUCUUCCCAAGCACUCAUGGUUUGGCAGGACAAGGCCAGAAUUCGAAACUACAGCAAGGCCUUAACUUCAAGAUAGCGACGAUAAUAGCACCCGACUCCCAAAAUGAUCGUGAGUUGUGAAAUGCUAACACGCAUACAAAACUCAGGGUGGUGCUUGGAACACAGGAAGCCGUACAGCAGGAGGCGGUGUCGUAAUUGCCCAUGAGCACGAUGCGUUUCUGUCGUCAAGCCGGGCUCACGUGCUUGCAUUUCCUGUCUACCGCGGUGAUGGGUGGAGCUGCACGUUCACUGUCUAGGCUGGGAAGUCUAAGCGCCACACAGUUAAGCAGUUGGCUUACAUUUGGUGGCGUAGCUGGGAAGAGAGCAGGCCAUCAGAUCUCUGACCCCUCGUUACCUUUGGAGGACGGACAGGAGGAGAAAGAACGGCUUGCUCUGGUACUCCUGGUAUAUUGUUAGAUGGGUCCCUACAUCCUGUUCCCAAUAUACUCCCUCAUAUCAAAAGCCAUCUUGGGCAUGAAGAAUAGAAGGAGGGAAAUAAGAGGAGAGAAAAAAAAAAGGAGAAAGACAUACAAUGUGAAAGAGACGGAUGUUUCCACUACCCCAAUAAGAAUGGUGGCUCUUAUUCAAAUCUUCCUCGACUGGGUUUAUGGAGACAAAGCCCAGGGUCCCUGCCUCACUGCCAGUCCUGUCAGGAUGGUCUUGUCGCUUCUAACCUGCCAGCAACCUGAGCAGCUCCCAGGCUCCCAGGCUACGUGCUGACAUCCUGAGAGCGGGAAUCCUGCCAGCUAACGGAUACAUGCCCCUGAGGACCACAUCUAAAACCUUUGGCCUCUUCUAAUUAGUUCACAAACCAUAGGAUGUUCUGUCUUACUCCACACUCCACUUACCUGCCUCACAACAAAGCUGUGCACUUCGGUUUAAAAUUAACUUACU